GUCAAAUUUUGAAAUGAUUUGAAUAUCCAUGGCGUCUCUAAGGUACAAGGAGUUGCAAGGCUUUCGGGGUUAUUCUGGUUAGGGAUAGCAGUAUCCCAUGGCCAUUUUGAGGAGAACAAAGGGUUGUUGGACUUGGAAUUCUCCUUGGCCAUCGAUAAAUUGUCUUAAAACUUCUCCGA
This is a long non-coding RNA of Ipomoea nil (Japanese morning glory), 179 nucleotides long. RefSeq lists it as uncharacterized. NCBI's taxonomy places the organism in Eukaryota, Viridiplantae, Streptophyta, Magnoliopsida, Solanales, Convolvulaceae. The transcript is spliced from 3 exons. The record is from RefSeq and is a predicted model, not a curated record.